GGACUACCCGGGUAUCUAAUCCUGUUUGCUCCCCACGCUUUCGUGCCUGAGUGUCAGUGCUGAUCCAGGGUGCCGCCUUCGCCACUGGUGUUCCUCCCGAUCUCUACGCAUUUCACCGCUACACCGGGAAUUCCACACCCCUCUAUCGCACUCUAGCUUGCCAGUAUCCACUGCCAUUCCCAGGUUGAGCCCGGGGCUUUCACAGCAGACUUAACAAACCACCUACGCACGCUUUACGCCCAGUAAUUCCGAGUAACGCUUGCACCCUUCGUAUUACCGCGGCUGCUGGCAC
Molecule: ribosomal RNA, 292 nt
Filed under: uncultured bacterium
Lineage: Bacteria
Also listed under: 1 other name
Description: partial 16S ribosomal RNA
Source: RNAcentral